UUAAGUUCUUGGCAGGGGAGAUACUAUGAUCAUAAAAGUGGUUUUCCCAUGUGAGCCUUAUCCAUUACUGACUGGAUAUGCUGACUCUUGAAAUUUCCCCAAAUGUGAUAAUCUCAAUUGAAUAAUUUUUGGUAGUGGGGGGUCUGCAUUUGCAUUAUUUUU
Molecule: small nuclear RNA, 162 nt
Organism: Jaculus jaculus (lesser Egyptian jerboa)
Lineage: Eukaryota; Metazoa; Chordata; Mammalia; Rodentia; Dipodidae
Product: U1 spliceosomal RNA
Exons: 1
Source: RefSeq, a predicted model, not a curated record